AUUGAACGCUGGCGGCAUGCCUAACACAUGCAAGUCGAACGGCAGCACGGGGGCAACCCUGGUGGCGAGUGGCGGACGGGUGAGGAAUGCAUCGGAAUCUGCCUCGUUGUGGGGGAUAACGUAGGGAAACUUACGCUAAUACCGCAUACGACCUACGGGUGAAAGUGGGGGACCGCAAGGCCUCACGCGAUGAGAGGAGC
This 200-nucleotide ribosomal RNA is filed under the name uncultured bacterium. RNAcentral describes it as "partial 16S ribosomal RNA". It matches the Rfam family "Bacterial small subunit ribosomal RNA", at positions 30 to 230 of the family's 1533-position model. The record is from RNAcentral.